This 76-nucleotide small RNA is filed under the name Flavobacterium sp. ov086. RNAcentral describes it as "Flavo-1 RNA". It matches the Rfam family "Flavo-1 RNA". Lineage: Bacteria; Pseudomonadati; Bacteroidota; Flavobacteriia; Flavobacteriales; Flavobacteriaceae. The record is from RNAcentral.
CCUUAGCCCUGAUGGAAGCGGCAUCCUUUUAUGGUGGGGUUCACCAUAAAAGAUAUAGCGGACAGCAGGAAAUAGC